UGGGGAAUUUUGCACAAUGGGGGAAACCCUGAUGCAGCGACGCCGCGUGUACGAUGAAGAUCUUCGGAUUGUAAAGUACUGUCCUUGGUGAAGAUAAUGACUGUAACCAAGAAGCAAGCCCUGGCUAAAUACGUGCCAGCAGCCGCGGUAAUACGUAUGGGGCAAGCGUUGUCCGGAAUUAUUGGGCGUAAAGGGUAAGUAGGCGGUUAUUUAAGUCUAAAUUAAAAGGCAUUGGCUCAACCAAUGUAAGGUUUAGUUACUGGAUAACUUGAGUUGAUGAGGGGAAAGUGGAAUUCCAUGUGUAGCGGUGAAAUGCGUAGAUAUAUGGAGGAACACAAAUGGCGAAGGCAAUGAACUAGAAUCAAAAAGACGCUGAGGUACGAAGGCAUGGGGAGCAAACAGG
This 403-nucleotide ribosomal RNA is filed under the name Fusobacteriota bacterium. Its description in RNAcentral is "Fusobacteria bacterium partial 16S ribosomal RNA". It matches the Rfam family "Bacterial small subunit ribosomal RNA", at positions 355 to 776 of the family's 1533-position model. Lineage: Bacteria; Fusobacteriati; Fusobacteriota. The record is from RNAcentral.